ACUCCUACGGGAGGCAGCAGUGGGAAUAUUGCACAAUGGGCGCAAGCCUGAUGCAGCCAUGCCGCGUGUGUGAAGAAGGCCUUCGGGUUGUAAAGCACUUUCAGUUGUGAGGAAGGAUGGUGUCGUUAAUAGUACGGCAUUCAUUUGAUCGUUUAGCAACAUGAAGAAGCACCGGCUAACUCCGUGCCAGCAGCCGCGGUAAUACGGAGGGUGCGAGCGUUAAUCGGAAUUACUGGGCGUAAAGCGCAUGCAGGUGGUUUGUUAAGUCAGAUGUGAAAGCCCGGGGCUCAACCUCGGAAUCUUGACAUUUG
Molecule: ribosomal RNA, 311 nt
Filed under: uncultured bacterium
Lineage: Bacteria
Description: bacterial SSU rRNA
Rfam family: Bacterial small subunit ribosomal RNA
Source: RNAcentral